GCUGUACCUAGCCCCAAACACUACAAACACAACAACAUCAAUCGUCACUUAAAACAAAACAUUUAUCACCAAUUAGAGUAUAGGAGAUAGAAAUUCUUACACGGCGCUAUAGAGAUAGUACCGUAAGGGAACAUUGAAAGAUACAAACCAAAGCAACAAACAGCAAAGAUUACCCCUUGUACCUUUUGCAUAAUGAUUUAACUAGCCACACUUAGCAAAAAGACAUUUAAGUUAAGUACCCCGAAACCAGACGAGCUAUUCAUAAGCAGCCUACAUGGGCCAACUCCUCUAUGUGGCAAAAUAGUGAGAAGACUUUUGAAUAGAGGUGACACGCCUACCGAGCCUGGUGAUAGCUGGUUGUCCAGCAAAACGAAUCCCAGUUCAAAUACAAGUCUACCCAAAACACACAUAAUUUAAAUGUAGACUUAAAAAUAGUCCAAAAGGGGACAGCCUUUUAGACACAGGAUACAACCUUAUCUAGAGAGCAAGCACAAGCAACACCACCCCAGUAGGCCUAAGAGCAGCCAUCAGUAAAGAAAGCGUUCAAGCUCAAAACCCAAACAAAAUUCCAAUCCCAAUAAAACCGGCCAGCCAACUCCUAGCAUAAAAACUGGACCAAUCUACAAUCAUGUAGAAGAGACAAUGUUAAUAUGAGUAACAAGAAAUCAUUUCUCCCAGCAUAAGUGUAUAUCAGAACGGAUGCCCACUGAUAGUUAACACCACCACAGACAACCACAUAACAAGCCCUCAGCCACUACAAUGUUAACCCAACACAGAAAUGCCUACGGGAAAGAUUAAAAGGAGUAAAAGGAACUCAGCAAACACAGACUCCGCCUGUUUACCAAAAACAUCACCUCUAGCAUAUCCAGUAUUAGAGGCAAUGCCUGCCCAGUGACACACGUUCAACGGCCGCGGUAUCCUAACCGUGCAAAGGUAGCAUAAUCACUUGUUCCCUAAAUAGGGACUUGUAUGAAUGGCCACACGAGAGUCUUACUGUCUCUUACCCCCAAUCAGUGAAAUUGACCUCCCCGUGAAGAGGCGGGGAUAAUAUAAUAAGACGAGAAGACCCUAUGGAGCUUCAAUUUCAAACAACCCAAAACAAUACCUACCCGUCCAAAAGGACUUAAAACAACAUUCAAACUGGGCUGACAAUUUAGGUUGGGGCGACCUCGGAGCAUAAAACACCCUCCGAGACAUUAUUAAACCGAGACUAACUAGUCAAGGACAUGAUAACUUAUAUGAUCCAAAAUUUUUGAUCAACGGAACAAGUUACCCUAGGGAUAACAGCGCAAUCCUAUUCAAGAGUCCCUAUCGACAAUCAGGGUUUACGACCUCGAUGUUGGAUCAGGACACCCCAAUGGUGCAGCAGCUAUUAACGGUUCGUUUGUUCAACGAUUAAAGUCCUACGUGAUCUGAGUUCAGACCGGAGCAAUCCAGGUCGGUUUCUAUCUAUUUUAUGUCUUUCCCAGUACGAAAGGACAAGAAAGACAAGGCCUCCUCAAAACAGAGCGCCCUAGCAAGCCAACACAUGACACAAUAUCAAUGUGGCCCGCAAUAACCAACACUCCCCCAGAUAAGGGGUCA
Molecule: ribosomal RNA, 1584 nt
Filed under: Diphylla ecaudata (Hairy-legged vampire bat)
Lineage: Eukaryota; Metazoa; Chordata; Mammalia; Chiroptera; Phyllostomidae
Description: 16S ribosomal RNA
Rfam family: Bacterial large subunit ribosomal RNA
Source: RNAcentral